Molecule: long non-coding RNA, 5197 nt
Organism: Cyprinus carpio carpio
Lineage: Eukaryota; Metazoa; Chordata; Actinopteri; Cypriniformes; Cyprinidae
Source: Ensembl
AGUUGUCAGCCCAACUGAGAAAACACAGUGUGCCUUUUAUUAUUUUCAUGGUUUUGUUGGGUGAGCGGACUGCAGUGUCAAAUUCUCUAUAUGAACAUGGUCAGUGUAGUUACAAGCUGUGUCCCAAACUUAAGUGCAUGGACUCCGGAGGGUGCAUUUGAACUGCGAAUCCGUCACAGCGGCGCAAGGAAGGCUGUCCCAAACUGAAGUGUGUGGACUCUGAAGUGCGGAUAUGAAGUGCCAUUGCGUCACGACGUAAGCUGUCCUAAAGUCAGAAUGUGCACUUCGAAGGCCGCAUUCCAAGGCCGAUUGCGUCACCGCGGCAUGACAAAGGCUAAUGCAUUUCGAAAGUGACGUCAAAUGCGCCCUCCGUUUCCUGGGAAAAUUAAGUGUACAUCUGAUGGACACUUCGCACCCUACCAUAUCCCAGAAUCACUUACACGGACAACGGUGUUUAUAUUCAAAGAACAGGGCAGGUGAGAGAUCUGUGGGGGAAUUCACAUUGAAAUGAUUGCAUGUGUGUUGGGACAGGUGAGAGAGGCUGGUGUAGCUGCUAAGAGAAGACAUCAAACUCCAGAGCGAGACAGAGGAGAGAAGAGCACAGGAGAGCGAGACAGAGGAGAGAAGAGCACAGGAGAGAGAGACAGAGGAGAGAAGAGCACAGGAGAGAGAAACAAAGGAGAGAAGAGCACAGAAGAGCAAGGAGAGAAUGGAGAGACUGUUUUCUGUUCUUGAGAGAAUGCUUAACAAAUGCAUUGUAUAUUAGCCAUUCUUUAUUAGCCAAAAGAAAGCAGUGGAAAAAUGGGUAAUAUUACAUUACAAGUUUUCUAUAGCUUUUUUUUAAAUGUCACAUUGUCAGUGAAAUAACCUAAUUGCUGUAGUUUAUUUUUGUGAUGUAAGUAAAAAAUUAAAUGAAUAAGUUGUAUACAUUAUUAAUUUUUGUAGUGUAAUUUAUGUGUAAAUGAGCCUGAGUACUUUCUGUACAUUUAGCAUUUUUGUUUUGCAUAUUCACAUGUAAAUAAAAGAGAAGUAAUUAUGUACAUUGUUAUUUUUUUUUAAUGCAGCUUAUAAUUUUUAACAAAACAUCCGUCUGUGUUAAUUUUUUUGUCCUGUAAAUAUUUGUAUUUUUUUUUUAAAUAAAAGUUCUAUACAUUACUGUUUUUUUUUUCUUCUUUUUUUCCUUUUUUUUUUUUACAACAUAGCUUAGGUUUAGCAUCAGAAAAACGACAUCCGUUUUGAGCCCAGCCCUGCCUCCAUGUGUUCUGGAGUCUUCAGGAGGUCAAUCUCUUGGUGAAUGGCCAGCACCUCCUCAGCGACUCGGAGGAUAAUGCGGUGACAGUGGAACAAAGGACAUGUCAAACACUCUGGAGACCACUCUGUAUGAUGUACCACUGGCAGACCAGGGUCUGGAUUGUGGCACUUCUCAGAAGAUCCAGCAGCAUUGUCAGGGCCUCCCUGCUCAGCCCAAAACCAUUAAAAACCUGUCCAGCGCUGCCACAUUCAGCUUUAUCCUACAGUACAGGGAUCUGGUCUGAUUUAGGGAAAGAAGGAAAAGAGAAAUUGUUUAGAGCUAUGAAAAAGUAAUUAGUAGAAGAAAUACUGAGAUACUUUAGUCAAGUACUUUUAGUAACUACUAAUACCACAUUGGGGAAAAACUACUAGUCAUAUUUAAAACCUUAGCUAAAGGGAUAGUUCACCCAAAAUUAAAAUUCUAAACCUGGAACAACUUAAGGGUGAGUAAAUGAUUACAGAAUCAUUUAAGUAAAAGUAUUAUCUUGCAUACUCUAAUAUACUUAAAGUAUUGACAGUAAAGGUAUACAAUAUUGUUCUGAAAAAAAAAAAAGAAGUUUUGCAUUAAUAUUACUGCAGCACUGAUGUUUAUGUUGCAUUUUACUUCUAAAUAUGUUCAAGGUUAUUAACUUUAAAGUUGCCUACUAAAUAUACUGUUGGGUAGUUUAAUCUACAACAAUGCAUCAUGUUGUAAAAGACCAUAUUUUUAUAGUGCUGCGGUCCUGUGAGAAAAAAGAAAAAAAAAGAAAAAAAAGAAAAAUAAAACUUAGUACUUCAUAUUUGUACGAGUAUACUUAAUGAAUGUACUUCCUUACAGUCCACCUCUGAUCAUUUUCAAAAUGAAAGUAACAACAUUUAUUGUCAGAAUAUUACAAUAAAUAAUAUUCUGUGUGUGUGUGUGUGUGUGUGUGUGUAUUUUGUAGUUUUUCAUAUGUAUCAUUACAUUAUUCAAGUAAGCUCCAAACGAAUUCCUGCAUUUAAAGUUGUAAUCUGACAAAGGACGCAGCAAACCAGUGUAAUUUACUUGGCCUCGGUUUUGGCUAAGCCUGAGGUACAUCACCGUCUCCUCUAUUAUGACGUAAAACAUAAAAACAAAAACGAGCAAUUCUGGCUCUGCCUAUCCUGGCAGGAUUGUCCUCUCGUCAGCUCUCCUCUCGCACCGUUGCUAAGCGAUAGAGCACUAAUCGGAAUCACCUGGUGGCGGAAUUAGGAAAUCCUGUGAAGGCGGAGCAUCUCACGCACUCCGGAGGGCCCUUUGUGCUCUCCGGAGGCCUGGUCUUCGAAGUCCGUGGCCUUCGAAGGGUGUACACUCAACUUUGGGACACAGCUACAUUAUCUACAUCCAUACACUGCUAAGUUCAUCCACACUGACUAUAACAUCAGUUUCAAAUCAGUUCAUUGGACCAGCUGAGGAAACAGAAAGAGGUUGGUGCGAUGCUGUGUAAAACAUUGCCUCACUCAGCAGGUAUGGUGUAAUGGGAUUUCACGGUGUAGCCACUCACUUGCAGUGGUUUGAUCAUAUUUUCUGACUCUGGCUAAUAUACAUAUUCCAGAACACAAUUCUCUAUAUUUUGUAAAGAAGCACAAAUAACAAAACUUGGUAAAAUAGGUUCUUGUUGUUUUCACUGUGCCUCUAAUGGCCUGCCACUUGCAGCAACUAAAGAUUGAUUUUUAAGACAGUCUAACAAUGUCUGUACCUGUGGCUUCCAAGGAAUCAAAGUGCAAUGACUCUGGAAUUAAAAGAUCCCCCUGAGUUGUUUUGCUUUAAGCUCAAAAGCCGUUCUGAACAUAAUAAAUUUUCCCCAUGCGUCAGAUCUCAAUUUGCUGACUACCAAGCUUGAACUGGAUGUCUAAGUAUUCCACACAUAUAAGAGUUAAGUGGGCCACAUCGAGUAAUCAGAUACUCAUGUUCUCACUGCCUUUUCCCUACGGUCAAGUCAUCUUUCCACAGCUGCUGGAGUCAGUGCAGCGAGAGCUCGGCAGUGUGCAUUAGUUCAUUCCAUCACAGUCCACACCUGGCUCUCCAGCGGAGCCUGAGCUCCCAUUAUUUCCAUAUGGCAGGGUUCCAUCAAGCCCUCUGCAUGGAGGCUUCCCCCAUAACACAACACAGAGACAAGGAGGACACAAGCUCAGCAGUCAUCAGGAGAAUCUGUUUUCAACUUCUACCACUUGCUUUUUUCCUCCCUGCUAGCACCGAUCUCUCAUUUUCAUAAUAACAUCUUUCUAGGCAAACUCAGAAGGCCUUUCCCAUGACUUGGAGUGAGAGUAAAUUUUCCAGAGGCUUGGGUUGUUGAGAACCUGAAGAAUAAAACUUAAAUCCCUACUCUCUAAACCCUGCCCAAUACUUCCUUCAGUGAGGAAAUGUAAUAUCGUUCCUGCGUCUGCAGGCGAGCUGUCAAAACCAGUUGCAGCAGGGUCAGAGAGAUAGUCUCAACCCUGCUGUUUUUAUGUAACCAGAGUAAUGUAAAAUUAAAUCAAGUCUCCGCCUGAAAAUAUAUGAGGCAUGUUUUGGAAGAAUUCUUCCGCUACAUUACUUUGAUGCAGUGACGGCAUCUCUUAAAACCCCUGUGCGCAUCAGGAGAAUUUGGUUUAUUACAGAACGCCCCCAUUCUCAGACUGCAAUUCCAAGUGAAUAUAUGCGAAAACUCUCCAAAUAAGCAAAUGAGAUUCAGAAUAAAUGCUGAGUUUCUCAGUGCCACCCAGGGGUAUUGUGCACAGCUGUCUCGCAGAGGGAGUUUUGUGGGCAAAUGUGUGCGCGGGAAACAAUGGCACAUAUUUGUCCUUGACUGAAGCUGCUGCUUGCUAAAACUGUCAUGUUGGUCUCAACUGACUGAAUGUCCCCCCGCCCUCCUGGAAAUCUAGCCAAUCAAUUAAUCGCUGACCUUCGUGAUUCAUACAUCCAAAAAAAAAAAGUGCGGGGUGACAUUGCCCACUUCAUCUUGUUGAACACCCUUUUACAACUGCGGCUCAGUCUCCUAAUGGACCGGCCUACACAGUGAGUGAGGAGAAGCUUUGAAAAGAAGAUUUUCCCAAGAUGCAUUGUAACUGAAGUUCACCCAGACAAUGGCUAACUAAUCUAUGAGUUGUACGCUUUGCAAUUUGUAUUUCUGUACAUGUAGCAGGAACCUUUGCUCUGUGGUCUUUACCAAGUGAGUUCAGUUGCAGGGGAGUAUAUGAAAGCAAACACGAAAGAACGCCAGAUGAAAUGUUUUGUAAAAGCUAAAGACAGACUUGUCCUUGACCAACUUGUUAGCUGAGGUGAUGCACUCAUGAACACAGUUUCAAUGAGCACAAUCAUUCCAGGACCAAUCAGUGUUCCAUCUUUAGGAAAAUCCUUGAGACCUUCAGGACCUUCACAACAAUAGUUAAAAAAAAAAAACGUCAAAUAAUGCAGUGCACAGAAAUCAAUUGGCGCUGGUCACUCAAAAAUCAAUGCACCUUUUAAAAAGUUAUUGAUGACCUAUGCUAAGAUCAUGAAGGGCACUUGUGGCUAGGGUCUGUCAUUGAGUACAUGGCAUGUGAAGUCAAUUGUGACCUUCACAGUUCUAAGAGGAGGAGGAUAAAGGGGUACUUAUGAAAGAUUAGACUCACACAUCUGUUCUCGAGCAGAGCUGGAACAUUCUCUCUCUCUCUCUCUCUCUCUCUCUCUCUCUCUCUCUCUCUCUCUCUCUCUCUCUCGAAUGAUACAGUAGACUAUGUCUCACAAUACAGCAGAAAUGGGUCCUCCUCUCCCCUAGCUGCAUGUGGCUUCUCCCUUGACGCAUAAUAUUAAUUAGGAAAAGACUCUGUCAGAGACAUUACUCUGACUCUGUAACUUUAAUGACUUCAACCUCAGCACCCAAUCUAAUUUUAAUAUUAUUUUAUUUUAAUCAUACUUAAUUGAAUAUGAAAUAUACCAGACGUUCCC